RNA transcript from Apodemus sylvaticus (European woodmouse), 2685 nucleotides. It is a transcript of the gene named tripartite motif-containing protein 15-like, with no coding region annotated. The transcript is spliced from 7 exons. The record is from RefSeq and is a predicted model, not a curated record. NCBI's taxonomy places the organism in Eukaryota, Metazoa, Chordata, Mammalia, Rodentia, Muridae.
AUAAGGCUCUUGAGCUUGGGGGUGCACAGCACAAGCAACUGGGUGACGCCUCCAUGGGCCCAGGACAGGCUUUAAAAGACAGCUGAAAGAAAAACAUGCAUGAGGGAGGGAAAAUGGAGUCAGCUUAUUUGUUUAUUUAUUUAUUUGUUUGUUUGUUUGUUUAUUAUCAUGCCCACACAUCUCCCACUGAUCGAAGGAAGCAUUUUAAACAGUUUAUUUACUCCACCUCAGCUCUAUCACAUCCUGCUGUUUGGAUCUCCAUUUUGCAAGCUCCUCCAGGUUCCCUGGCCUCAUCCAAGAGGAACUAACAGAGCACAGCCUCGGAUUCCUUUGCUUCUGUGACAGUGACGCACUUAAAAGUGACUCAGUUUCAGAGAAAGGAAAUUGGAGUGGACAGAGUCAGAAGACUGUGGGACAGACAAGAGAAGGCACAGUGAUGCCCUCAACCCGGUCUCUGCGGGGACUCCACCAAGUAGCCUGUCCUGCCUGCACCCGGCCCUUGCAGGAUGCGGUGACCAUAGCCUGCGGACACACUGUCUGCCUACUCUGCCUCCCGCGCACCCCAAUGGGAUCCCAGCUGCUGUGCCCUCUCUGUCAGGGGGCAGAAGAAGAACAAACCCAGGCCGCAGUAGCCCCAGUGUCCCUAGGUCCUCUGAGCGAGACCUACUGCGAAGAGCACGGAGAGAAGAUCUAUUUCUUCUGCAAGACAGACGCGGAGCUGCUCUGCGUGUUCUGCAGGGAGGGCCCCGCCCACCAGGCACACACUGUGGGGUUCCUGGAUGAAGCCAUCCAACCCUACAGGGAUCGUCUCAGGAGUCGGUUAGAAGCUCUAAGAAUGGAGAGGGACAAGAUAGAAGAUAGGAAAUGUCAAGAAGACCAGAAGCUCCAGGAGGUUCUGAUGCAGGUUGAAAGCAAGAAGCAACAGGUAGAAGCUGCUUUUGAAAGGCUGAAGCGGGAGCUUGUGGACCAGAAGUGCCUCCUGCUGACCAGGCUGGAGGAACUAGAACAGCAGAUCUGCAAGGAGAGGGAGGAGUACAUCAGGAAGGUCUCCCAGGAGGUCGACCGGCUGGGUGCCCAGGUUGAGGAGCUAGAGGAGAAGUGUCAGCAGCCAGCAAGUGAGCUUCUGCAAGAUGACAGGCUCAAUCAGAGCAGAUAUGAGCUAAAGACUUUUGUGAGCCCAGAGGCCAUUUCGUCUGAUCUUGUCAAGAAGAUUCGAAACCUCCACAGGAAAAUACUUUGCCUCCCAAAGAUGAUGAGGACAUUUUCAGGUAAAGGGGUUCUGGAUCCCAUUAGGUGUUCUACCUUCCACCGGUCUCCAUCUUCCCCCUACUUCAAAACGUGGUUCAAACCACCAAGUACAGCACUACAUGCCUGUAAUGCCAGCACCAGGGAGACUGAGGCAGGGGAUCUUAAGUUCCAAGCUAGCUUGGACUACAUAGUGAAACCCAAACGAAAAUAAGCAAACAGCUGGGGUUACGCAUCUUCUCUCCUCACCUUCCCACCAGACCUCACUCUACUCAGGGAGCAAAUCCCCAGAUUGUGGUUUCCUCUGUCCAAGGAUAGAGGCACUGGAGUGAGAGUCCAGGAGGGUGAGGCACACCUCUCUAGUAUCCCUGUCCCCACGCUGCAGCCAGGACACCCUCCCCUUGGUAGCAUCUGUAGGAGAUAUUAAAGUCUCAGGGAUCUUUGUCUCUGUUUUCUUCAGAAAACUUGAUGCAGCAUCUGGAGACAGAUUCAGACUCCUAGGUACUGUACUGCUGCUGUCCUGGCCACUUCACUUUAAGAAGCAAAUCCUCAGACACAGCGGUCACUUCUGUCCUCCAGACACAGAAGCCUAGGAAGCAGGCAGCAUGGACGGAAAGCACUGUCCUGAAGCAGGCAGCAGGAAUCACUCUGAACCCUCAGACCACAACCCCAAGUCCAGGCCUCUCUGUAAUGGCCACUUGGGUGGCAGCUGCACCAUGAAAGUGGCCCCCCAAGGUGACCGGGGUGAGGGGACAGCAGGACCUGGGCACUGAGGACAGUGUCUGAGCCAUGAUGCUUUUGCUCCAACUGGCCAGCACCCACCUGUCAUGCAAAAAGGGACAGCCAUUCUGUGCGGUGUAGACGUGGAUAUGGACUACCAGGCAUGGGAGAGACCCUGCAAAUGUCCCAUACCAAGGCAUCAAUCUCCAUCUUUUUCCAACCCUAUCCCACCUGGGAAGUAAGCUCCUGCCUUUGAAAUGCAUGAGGUGGAGCCAAGUAAGUGUGGCAGACACACCAGCACCUUGGAAACCAGCUCUUUCCCUAGCAUUCAAAGAAAUGAAGUUGGAACAUAGGGUCUUGAAAUCUUGUAGUUUUAAAUUUGCACAUCCAGUACCUUCAGCUCCCUGCAAUCCUGUUCCUGGACAUGCCGAUCUCUCUGAACGGAGAGCCAGAAGCAGACAGGAAGGCAUUGUCCUAGACACCAACAAAGCUAUGAGCCAAUGGGAUUUGGAAGGGAAACAAAAAAACCGUAAAAGCUUCAAAAUGACCAUUGUAGGGUAACCAGGACUCUGUUUGGCUUGUAUUAAUUUAUAAUGACUUUUGGACACAAAGCUGGAGAUGCUUUGGGGCUUCAUCAACAGCUCUGGGUGGACCCCCAAAGCCCCUUCAGGCCAUUUCUCUAGGUUUUGAGAGAAUGUUUUAAUAAAAUAUGUAACCUAA